RNAcentral lists this ribosomal RNA (1086 nucleotides) under Campylobacter coli. RNAcentral's name for it is "partial 23S ribosomal RNA". It matches the Rfam family "Bacterial large subunit ribosomal RNA", at positions 1271 to 2336 of the family's 2925-position model. The record is from RNAcentral. Lineage: Bacteria; Pseudomonadati; Campylobacterota; Epsilonproteobacteria; Campylobacterales; Campylobacteraceae.
UGCUGGAGCGAAUAGAAGUGAGCAUGCAGGCAUGAGUAGCGAUAAUUAAUGUGAGAAUCAUUAACGCCGUAAACCCAAGGUUUCCUACGCGAUGCUCGUCAUCGUAGGGUUAGUCGGGUCCUAAGUCGAGUCCGAAAGGGGUAGACGAUGGCAAAUUGGUUAAUAUUCCAAUACCAACAUUAGUGUGCGAUGGAAGGACGCUUAGGGCUAAGGGGGCUAGCGGAUGGAAGUGCUAGUCUAAGGUCGUAGGAGGUUAUACAGGCAAAUCCGUAUAACAAUACUCCGAGAACUGAAAGGCUUUUUGAAGUCUUCGGAUGGAUAGAAGAACCCCUGAUGCCGUCGAGCCAAGAAAAGUUUCUAAGUUUAGCUAAUGUUGCCCGUACCGUAAACCGACACAGGUGGGUGGGAUGAGUAUUCUAAGGCGCGUGGAAGAACUCUCUUUAAGGAACUCUGCAAAAUAGCACCGUAUCUUCGGUAUAAGGUGUGGUUCGCUUCGUAUUAGGAUUUACUCCGAAAGCGAAGAAACUUACAACAAAGAGUCCCUCCCGACUGUUUACCAAAAACACAGCACUCUGCUAACUCGUAAGAGGAUGUAUAGGGUGUGACGCCUGCCCGGUGCUCGAAGGUUAAUUGAUGGGGUUAGCAUUAGCGAAGCUCUUGAUCGAAGCCCGAGUAAACGGCGGCCGUAACUAUAACGGUCCUAAGGUAGCGAAAUUCCUUGUCGGUUAAAUACCGACCUGCAUGAAUGGCGUAACGAGAUGGGAGCUGUCUCAAAGAGGGAUCCAGUGAAAUUGUAGUGGAGGUGAAAAUUCCUCCUACCCGCGGCAAGACGGAAAGACCCCGUGGACCUUUACUACAGCUUGACACUGCUAUUUGGAUAAGAAUGUGCAGGAUAGGUGGGAGGCUUUGAGUAUAUGACGCCAGUUGUAUAUGAGCCAUUGUUGAGAUACCACUCUUUCUUAUUUGGGUAGCUAACCAGCUUGAGUUAUCCUCAAGUGGGACAAUGUCUGGUGGGUAGUUUGACUGGGGCGGUCGCCUCCCAAAUAAUAACGGAGGCUUACAAAGGUUGGCUCAGAACGGUUGGAA